UACGGAGGCAGCAGUGAGGAAUAUUGGUCAAUGGGCGGAAGCCUGAACCAGCCAUGCCGCGUGAAGGAAUAAGGCCCUAUGGGUCGUAAACUUCUUUUGUGGUGGAGCAAUAAGGUGUACGCGUACACCGAUGAGAGUACAUCACGAAUAAGCAUCGGCUAACUCCGUGCCAGCAGCCGCGGUAAU
Molecule: ribosomal RNA, 186 nt
Filed under: uncultured rumen bacterium
Lineage: Bacteria
Description: partial 16S ribosomal RNA
Rfam family: Bacterial small subunit ribosomal RNA
Source: RNAcentral